This is a long non-coding RNA of Helicoverpa zea (corn earworm), 2301 nucleotides long. RefSeq lists it as uncharacterized. Lineage: Eukaryota; Metazoa; Arthropoda; Insecta; Lepidoptera; Noctuidae. The record is from RefSeq and is a predicted model, not a curated record. The transcript has 2 exons.
AUCUCGAUUCUCGAAGCGAACGGUAGUGUUUAAACAGUGACUCAUAUAAUAUAAAAGAUAAAUAAAAAUGAAGUUUCUAUUGCUGAUUUUCUGCGCAGCGAUGCUGUUCGCGUUUAUCAGUGCAAUUAAAGAUAAUAAUAGGCAUAUUAAAUCUGCACAGCGUACUAAAUGUGCUUCAUUGUCCGGAAAAUGUGUGGUGAAAAUUGCAGAAAAGAACUUCAGGAGCAAAAGGGUGCAACGAAGUGUCAUGAAUAGUGGUUCCAGUCCAUGCCCAGACGGGUACAUUUGGCACUACUAUAAAUGCUGGCGAUGUGACAAGUACGAGGAAAUAACUGGGAAUCCAUGCUAAUAGUGCCUCCGAAAAUUACUUAAAUUAUUUUUUUCCAAUUUAUAAAAUGAAACACAUCACUGGAAAAAGCUGCUCAACUAUUCAUAUAAAUGUGACUAUUUGCUACUGUUGCCUUGACAGAAUGCCUUAGACAUUCGAACAUUGGUAAAGCCGAAUUACGCCAUACUUGAACAGUGCAAAUAUCCACUGCAUGUUACCUCAUCAGAACUGGCCUUGAAGCUGCAGCUGUUGCCAUGACAACCCGUGUUAUGUUAAAAACAACGUAAAACCAAAUUAAGGAAAUUAUCUAAGGCGAACUUCCGAUGGUGUGCGGUACCUUCACUGUUUCUUCUGGUCUACUGUCUCUAGUGAACAAUAAUGGAGUGCGCAUAUUUCUAAACGAUCUGUGAAAUUGCAACGUGUGUGCGGACAUAAUAUGCUAGAAGUGAUCUCGCCGACACGUACAAAUGUGUGCGAACAGUUGUGGUGUAGUCUUGCCAUAGGAUUAGUGAGUAGUUAGAAGUUCCUGAUGAAGUUAAAUUAAAAAAAAAGAUAAACAGAAAAGUAUGUGUUUCAGGUUUUCGCCUGUUGUGUUAUUAAUCUAUUCUGAAUUAGUGGUUGUGUAUGUUUUUAAUGUAUUACCUAAAUUUUCUUGUAGUUAAGUACCUGUUACAUUUCCAGAUUUAGAGAAUGCAAUACCGAAAAAAAUCGCCACAUCUUAAAGGGAGAAAUGCGAACAAAAAACAUUCAUUACGGCUUGGUAUUUUGUCUGACGAUUGCUGAUAUUAUAUUUUUCGCAUCACAGGAGCAAAAACACAUUGGUUUCUUUCAAAGAUGAUCUUUUUACUACUGUGUGAUACUUCUAAUUAUAUUCUCUAGAUCUGCGAUUGUAAUGGCAAUUAUGGUCUAGGCAUUUUGAUCUGAAAUGAAAAUUACUUCAAGAUUCCACCUUAAAUACAAGACCACCGUUUUCAUUCCAGACUACCUAUAUGUAUUUUAAAUAUUCAAUAAUUAAUUUAAAGUAUUUUUUAAAACUGAUAACAGAUUAUGGCCUAUUUCUGACUGUUUUAUAGUUCUAUGAUAACAACAUGCUGUUUGUCAUAGGUACUUAAGUGAAGUGCGUAGGUAAAUUAGUCUGCAAUGUCAUUUCUAAAAACAGUAUUACUGUAGUAUCUUUUGUACGCACGUUCGUCAGCACGUAUUGUUUGAGGCAUUUAAUUUAGAAAUUGUGUAAAACAGAGUCAUAAUUUAAUUUGACAGGUCCCGGCUGUCAUAUGAACAUCCUUGACAGUCUUUGCAAACUGUUAGAUUAUUGGGUACCAAAAUUCGAGUAAUUUGACUGACGAGCGAGUGUUAAGUAUUGCAAGACCUGAAAUCAGCAUUCCACUACUUAAUGUAUUAUUGUAACAUCGGCCUGUAUCUCAUCUUCACUUAUCUGCAUCUGCACACAAGAAUCUGGGAGAUUUCGAAUUAUGUUAUAUAAUGAAAAAGUAUUGUAUAAAAGUAUUUGCCACUAUUUUUAAAUUAACCUUGAUUCUUGUGUUUCCGCCGUCUUUAUAUGUUUUCAAUGUUAAUCUCAUUUCUCAUUUAAGUAAUAAGUUGCAUAAAAUAUUCUGUCUAUUUGAGGCGCUUAUGGCUAUGUUAAAGCCUCACGAGUAGGCAGUUUGUUCCAUGGAAAAUUUUAGAUUGUAGAUGGUUAAAUUGUAGAUCUCGGCUGUCAGAAGCCAAGACAACUGCUUUCAACCAGUAUUGUACCAAGGGGUAUUGAUUUGCUCAAACAACUGGGUUUACGAGAUCAGAGACGCAAUUGAUCAAUGUAAAACACUGGUGCUCAGCUGCAUCUGGUUAAACUAGAAGCCGAACCCAACAUAGUUGGGAAAGGCUAGGCAAAUGAUGAUAUUUAUAGCUAUUCUGUAUUUUUUGAUAUUGCUAAUUUAAAUGUUAAAUUAAAGAUUAUUGCAGGCAAAAACUAA